UGGGCUCAGAAUGAACGCUGGCGGCAUGCCUAACACAUGCAAGUCGAACGAGAUCUUCGGAUCUAGUGGCGCACGGGUGAGUAACGCGUGGGAACCUACCUUUUAGUACGGGACAACGUUUGGAAACGAACGCUAAUACCGUAUACGCCCUCCGGGGGAAAGGUCAGCCGCUGAAAGAGGGGCCCGCGUCUGAUUAGCUUGUUGGUAAGGUAACGGCUUACCAAGGCAACGAUCAGUAGCUGGUCUGAGAGGAUGAUCAGCCACACUGGGACUGAGACACGGCCCAGACUCCUACGGGAGGCAGCAGUGGGGAAUAUUGGACAAUGGAGGCAACUCUGAUCCAGCAAUGCCGCGUGUGUGAUGAAGGCCCUAGGGUUGUAAAGCACUUUCAACGGUGAAGAUGAUGACGGUAGCCGUAGAAGAAGCCCCGGCUAACUUCGUGCCAGCAGCCGCGGUAAUACGAAGGGGGCGAGCGUUAUUCGGAAUUAUUGGGCGUAAAGGGCUCGCAGGCUGCUUGAACAGUUAGACGUGAAAUCCCCGGGCUCAACCUGGGAACUGCGUUUAAUACUAGCAAGCUAGAGAAAUAGAGAGGAAAGUGGAACUCCCAGUGUAGAGGUGAAAUUCGUAGAUAUUGGGAAGAACACCAGUGGCGAAAGCGACUUUCUGGCUAUUUUCUGACGCUGAGGAGCGAAAGCGUGGGGAGCAAACAAGA
This 712-nucleotide ribosomal RNA is filed under the name uncultured bacterium. Its description in RNAcentral is "bacterial SSU rRNA". It matches the Rfam family "Bacterial small subunit ribosomal RNA", at positions 19 to 777 of the family's 1533-position model. The record is from RNAcentral.